Molecule: RNA transcript, 1710 nt
Organism: Beta vulgaris subsp. vulgaris (sugar beet)
Lineage: Eukaryota; Viridiplantae; Streptophyta; Magnoliopsida; Caryophyllales; Amaranthaceae
Exons: 1
Source: RefSeq, a predicted model, not a curated record
UUGAAUUAUUCCAAUGUAGCAAAAUGCAUCCAAAGAGACCAUUACUUAUAGACCAGAUAGGAUGAGUCUUCCUUUAUUCACCAGCUCCCAGAAAUCACAAACUCAGCAAUCUAAAAAUCACAAAAAUGAGUUCAGCAUCAACCACUGUUACACAUAUCUCAGAAUGCUUCAUCAAGCCAAAGUAUGAAGUGAAAGAAGCCAAACAACCAUACUACUUAUCUCCAAUGGAUUUAGCUAUGCUCUCUGCUCAUUACAUCCAAAAGGGUCUACUCUUCACCAAACCUUCAAACUAAGAUAACCAACAAUUCUCCAUUCACAAAUUCCUUCAAAAUCUCAAGGACUCUCUUUCACUCACCCUCAUCCAUUUCUACCCAUUAGCUGGUCAACUUGCGAGCGAAGUAGACAAAGAUCAGCACAAAUGUCUCAUCUUCGUCGACUGCAACAAAGGCCCUGGUGCGAGAUUCAUCCAUGCUACGUUAGAUAUGACCAUAUCAAACAUACUUUCACCAACCGAUGUUCCUCUAGUGGUUCAAUCAUUUUUUGAUCAUGAAAAAAAUGUUAACCAUGAUGGUCAUUUUAAGUCUUUGUUAACCAUUCAAGUCACUGAACUUUUAGAUGGUAUUUUCAUUGCUUGUUCUAUGAAUCACUCCCUCGGUGAUGGAACCUCCUACUGGAAUUUUUGGAACACAUGGUCUAAAAUCCAUCUAGGAUUAUGUGAUGAAGGAGUUCCUUCAUCGCGUAUUCCAUUUCAUAAACGUUGGUUUCCUGAAGGGUAUGGUCCGCCUUUCCUACUCCCCUUUACCGAACCAGAUGAAUUUAUUAGCAGAUUUACAGCACCCCAACUCAGAGAGAGGAUCUUCCAUUUCUCAUCUGAGUCUAUUGCAAGACUUAAAGCAAAAGCAAAUGAGGAAUUCAACACAACAAACGAAAUCUCAUCGUUUCAAGCCUUAUCAGCACUAUGCUGGCGUGCAAUAGCUCGAGCAAACCGUCUAUCUUUUGAACAAUUCACAAAUUGCAGAUUAGCAGCUAAUAACAGGCAUAGAUUAAAUCCACCUUUGCCUCAUGAGUAUUUUGGUAAUUGUAUAAGCGCACUGGAAACAACUACCACGGUUGGUGAGCUACUUGAUCAUAACUUAGGGUGGGCUGCGUCAUUGUUACACCAGACAGUGAUAAAUCACAAUGAUAAAAUACUACGAAAAUUCAUUAGUGGAUGGCUCAAAUCACCCGUUGUUUUCCAGCUUGAUAAGGUGUUUGAUUGUUACAGUGUGAUGAUGGGAAGUUCGCCAAGAUUUGACAUGUACGGGAAUGAAUUUGGGCUCGGAAAAGCAGUUGCUCUUCGUAGUGGGUACGCGAAUAAAUUUGUAGGAAAGGUGACUUCUUAUGAAGGCUACGAGGGUGGAGGAAGUGUGGAUUUGGAGAUAUGUUUACCUCCUGACUCGAUGAAAGCUCUUGAAACAGAUGAGGAAUUUAUGAAUGCUGUUUGCCUGUCUCGUUACCAAAUACUAUAGAAUAUAGGUUAAGGCACAACUGAAGGCCUUGUUCAGAGGAAAAAAAGAGAAAGGUGAAGCAUCAAAAUCCUUGCUGAGAUUAAAUAAAACCAACUUUCGUAUGUUAAUUAUAUUUUUCAUAUGUUUGACUGAUCUGAUGAUCAUCUUGUAUUCUGAUGUAUUAACAUCUUGGAAGAAUAAGGAGCUUUAUGUUGUAUUGCAA